AAUAUUGUGUUUUUAGAUUAGGCCAUGAAGAUAAUUGAAAGAGGCUGCUGUUCAGUCUUAUAUCAAAGCUCAUCUGUUAAAGGUUUAACAAUUACCCCAACAGGAACUUAAGAGUCACAAGAAAAUCCAGAAUGGUGCAAUUGCUGCAGAGACUCAAGGAUACAAUAGCGAAGUUUUUUGACAAAACUCAACAACCAGUCAAUUCUCUACAAACAACUACAUCUUUGGGGACUUGUUCCGUUGUUUGUAAGUUAUUCAUGAGGAUGAAAGAAUUCUGCAAAUAUCUUAUUAAUCUACAGAAGGAACUUAUUUUCAAAUUAUUGAACCAACUUCAAAGCUUAACUUCAAUUUUCCACUACAGACGAAGUCUUGCUAUUGAAAAUACUACUUGGACUGGACCAAGAGAACCAACAGAACUUAUACUACUAAAUACUGAAUCCAAGAAUACUAAAUUGAGAGAACACUCUGAGUCAGAGCGAAUGAGACAAAAUACACAACCAUAUCCUAUAUCUGAGAAUGUACUUUCAUUAAAUGUUCAAGAGACAAGGAAAACCACAGGUGAAAAUGUCCAGACUCAUCCUUCAUAGAGAAUGUUCCACUUCUUCAUUUUUUUGAAUAAAUAUGUUGCUGAACACAAUAAGAGAGCUGCCAAAUCUUCAAAAUGAAGACAACAAAAAUUACAAUAUGAAAGUAAAUCAUCUGCAGAACACACUCCUGUAAAAAACAAUGACAAUAAAUAAAUGUUCAUUUAAAAUUUGGAAA
Molecule: long non-coding RNA, 762 nt
Organism: Homalodisca vitripennis (glassy-winged sharpshooter)
Lineage: Eukaryota; Metazoa; Arthropoda; Insecta; Hemiptera; Cicadellidae
Exons: 3
Source: RefSeq, a predicted model, not a curated record